AACGAACGCUGGCGGCAGGCCUAACACAUGCAAGUCGAGCGCGCCUUCGGGUGAGCGGCGGACGGGUGAGUAACACGUGGGAAUAUGCCUUUCGGUGCGGAAUAGUCUUGGGAAACUGAGGGUAAUACCGCAUACGCCCCUUGGGGGAAAGAUUUAUCGCCGAAAGAUUAGCCCGCGUUGGAUUAGGUAGUUGGUGGGGUAAUGGCCUACCAAGCCGACGAUCCAUAGCUGGUUUGAGAGGAUGAUCAGCCACACUGGGACUGAGACACGGCCCAGACUCCUACGGGAGGCAGCAGUGGGGAAUCUUAGACAAUGGGGGCAACCCUGAUCUAGCCAUGCCGCGUGAGUGAUGAAGGCCUUAGGGUUGUAAAGCUCUUUCAGCUGGGAAGAUAAUGACGUACCAGCAGAAGAGCC
Molecule: ribosomal RNA, 414 nt
Filed under: alpha proteobacterium oral taxon A23
Lineage: Bacteria; Pseudomonadati; Pseudomonadota; Alphaproteobacteria
Description: bacterial SSU rRNA
Rfam family: Bacterial small subunit ribosomal RNA
Source: RNAcentral